This 1224-nucleotide ribosomal RNA is filed under the name gut metagenome. RNAcentral's name for it is "bacterial LSU rRNA". It matches the Rfam family "Bacterial large subunit ribosomal RNA", at positions 1347 to 2593 of the family's 2925-position model. The record is from RNAcentral.
AAGGUUUCCAGGGUAAAGCUGAUCUGCCCUGGGUAAGUCGGGGCCUAAGGCGAGGUCGAAAGACGUAGUCGAUGGAUAACAGGUUGAAAUUCCUGUACUAUCCUGUAACAGAACUGUGGGGACGCAGACAGAGAGCACAAGCCGGGAAUGGAAAGACCGGUGCAAGCGAGGUAGGAGUACAUCAGGCAAAUCCGGUGUGCAAUCCGAAGACGUGAUGCGGAUCGAAAAGAAGUAGAGAAGUGUGUGAGCUGGCUGCCAAGAAAAGCCGCUAUUGUUUACAGGAUACCCGUACCGUAAACCGACACAGGUGGAUGAGGAGAGAAUCCUAAGGCCGACGGGAGAAGCAUUGUUAAGGAACUCGGCAAAAUGACUCCGUAACUUCGGGAGAAGGAGUGCCAUGCGAAUGGCCGCAGAGAAUUGGCCCAAGCAACUGUUUAGCAAAAACACAGGUCUAUGCGAAACCGAAAGGUGAGGUAUAUGGGCUGACGCCUGCCCGGUGCUGGAAGGUUAAGGGGAGAGGUUAGCGCAAGCGAAGCUUUGAACUUAAGCCCCAGUAAACGGCGGCCGUAACUAUAACGGUCCUAAGGUAGCGAAAUUCCUUGUCGGGUAAGUUCCGACCCGCACGAAAGGCGUAAUGAUUUGGGCACUGUCUCAACAAUGCACCCGGUGAAAUUGAAAUACCAGUGAAGAUGCUGGUUACCUGCGCCAGGACGGAAAGACCCCAUGGAGCUUUACUCUAGCUUGAUACUGGGAUUCGAUAUUGCAUGUACAGGAUAGGUGGGAGACUAGGAAGUGGUGACGCCAGUUGCCAUGGAGUCAAUGUUGGGAUACCACCCUUGCAGUAUUGGGUUUCUAACCAGCAGCCGUGAUCCGGCUGGGGGACAAUGUCAGGUGGGGAGUUUGACUGGGGCGGUCGCCUCCGAAAGGGUAUCGGAGGCGCUCAAAGGUUCCCUCAGAAUGGUUGGAAACCAUUCGAAGAGUGCAAAGGCAGAAGGGAGCUUGACUGCGACACCGACGGGUGGAGCAGGUACGAAAGUAGGACUUAGUGAUCCGGUGGUAUAAAGUGGGAUUGCCAUCGCUCAACGGAUAAAAGCUACCCUGGGGAUAACAGGCUUAUCACUCCCAAGAGUUCACAUCGACGGAGUGGUUUGGCACCUCGAUGUCGGCUCAUCGCAUCCUGGGGCUGUAGUCGGUCCCAAGGGUUGGGCUGUUCGCCCAUUAAAG